GUUUUGACUGUUCUCCGAGCCAUAUUACCUGUAAGUGUUGGCUUAUGGUGUUAUGGCCGUUAGGGUUAGCUGGGAAACUGGUUAGCCUCCCUUGUGGAAAGGAGAGCCUUACCUACCUGA
This 120-nucleotide non-coding RNA is filed under the name Desulforamulus aeronauticus. Its description in RNAcentral is "Desulfotomaculum aeronauticum MoCo sequence". It matches the Rfam family "Molybdenum/Tungsten riboswitch aptamer (Moco RNA motif)". The record is from RNAcentral. Lineage: Bacteria; Bacillati; Bacillota; Clostridia; Eubacteriales; Peptococcaceae.